This 124-nucleotide ribosomal RNA is filed under the name Lithodora hispidula subsp. versicolor. RNAcentral's name for it is "5.8S ribosomal RNA". It matches the Rfam family "5.8S ribosomal RNA", at positions 36 to 154 of the family's 154-position model. Rfam says of the family: 5.8S ribosomal RNA (5.8S rRNA) is a component of the large subunit of the eukaryotic ribosome. Lineage: Eukaryota; Viridiplantae; Streptophyta; Magnoliopsida; Boraginales; Boraginaceae. The record is from RNAcentral.
AUGAAGAACGUAGCGAAAUGCGAUACUUGGUGUGAAUUGCARAAUCCCGUGAACCAUCGAGUCUUUGAACGCAAGUUGCGCCUGAAGCCAUUAGGCYAAAGGCACGUCUGCCUGGGCGUCACGC